UGCGGCUUGCCCACAUUUGUCUCAGAAUGCCAUAAGUGGCUUGGGGCCAAGGAAAAUUGUCCACCCUUGCCCUGCUGGGUCUCUUGGACUCCUUGGACGGUUUCCCAUUGUAUUUAGUGUCUUUCGGGAUUCAUUUGCAAACCAAAUUGGUCAGCACUACUUUCCAGUUGGAAAUGAAGGGGAUGAGAUGUGGUGUUUCAUUGUCACAGGACUUUGGGAAACGGUCACAGGCCUUUCCAGUGCAGAUACUGCCCCUACAGUGCCUCUCAGAAGGGAAAUCUGAAGACCCAUGUUCUUUGUGUCCAUCGCAUGCCUUUUGACAACAGCCAGUAUCCAGAUCGCAGGUUCAAGCGCUCCAGAGUUGACUCCGAGGCUUCUGGGAAUUUAGAGGAACCUGCAGCUGUCAAACCUGGGAGCUCAGCAGAGCUAACAGAGGAGGGCAGCAAGGCCCAAGAGUAAUGCAGCUGAACAAAUCAAUCUGUAUAUUGCAAUAUUAUUUUACACAGUUUUUAGAUAUGCAUUUGGUAAGAGAGUUUGCUAACUGCAUUCCAAGGGAAAAAAAAAGAAUCAUGUACAAAUCCCCAAUAGUGUACAGAACAUUUAAAAAAAUUUAAGACAUAUAUACGUAUAAAUAUAUAUAUAUAUACAUACAAAAAAUUCCCCUGGCCCUUGAAAAUGGCUGCUAAACUGUUACCUGGCAACAAGUACUUCCAAACAAUGCAGGUAGGAUAAUGAAGAGAUUUCAAAAUGCGAGGAGGUCAUUAGUUCUUUAAAAAGCAGGGGGGGAGCAUUUCGAAUCAAAAGUGGUCUUUGUCCAAAAAUAAUGCUCUUAACAGAAAAAUGAUACCAUCUAAAUGAUUUACUGUUGCCUUGAAGAUUGAGAGGCUGUGUUUGCAUUGUUGAAAACACCUUUAUAAUAUGACACCAGCUGCUGUCAUUUGCCUAGCAUAGUAAUGAGAUGUGUUGGUAGACUGCCAUGGUGCCAGUUAGACCGGAGCUGUCUUUGCAGAAAAAAAAAAAUCAAUUCAAGUGGUGUUGCAACUGCACUCUAGGAGAAAUCUUAGACGGCCCAUAAAGCGAGGGUCAGUCCUGACCUAUAUUGGAAAGGAUUGUGACUUUAUAUUCUCAUUUAAGAAGAAAAAAAACACACACACACAGCCAAAUGAAUCAGUGGUAGGGAGGUAUCUGCAGACCAACGUCCGUUGAGGAUUUGAUUAAUAAUUCCCUUUUUUUAGAUCAAAUUGCAGUAUUGAAAGAAAUGCUUUUAUUCUGUAUCUUUUUUUUUUAAAUGAAGAAGUAGGUUUGCUAUUAAAAAGAGAUGUAGGGGUAUAUUAUAUUAAAGUAUUGUUUAGUGAAACUAGUCACCCUUAUCUGAAGAAGGUGCUGGUGAGAAACUGAAGUUUAUGUAAUAAAUGGAGUUACUUUCUUUUGUCUUCCUUUCUUCUAAUUUUUUUUUGAACUUGAAUGAAGGAUUUCCAGUAUGGUUAAUUUUCAUUUGUUAGGUUUUAUAAGUGUUGAAGACAUAGUGCAGGGUUGUUUUUUUUCUCUCUUUCUUUUUCUGGAGCAAGCUCUUAAGAAGUAGCUUAAACUAAAAUAUGAAUCUAAACAUCCUGCUCUUUGUCUCUAAUGAAGAAAAGUGUUUUAGCUGAUAUUUCUUUGUUUUUGUAAAACAAAUGUGUUCUAUAUUUUUGCAGAUUUUAGCUUUUCUACUGAUUGGAUCCUCCAAAUGUACUGAGUUCUUCACCACAUAGGAAGCUUCUGAGAGACUAUAAUGAAAUACUUAAUGAAAAAAAUGUAAGACUGCUAGCAAAGUUUUAUUCUUAAGUCUGCUUGUAGCGCCUGAAAUGUUAGCCUUUUAACGUAGUUCCUUUGGUUGACGCCAGAUCGGUGCUGUUGAUGGUGAUGGUCCAGAAGUAUUAACUUCUCCUUAAACAAAAUCAUCCAGACUUUAAAAAAGAAAAGUCAAUAUUUCCUUGCAGGCUGGGAGCACAGAGUAAAACCCCAGGGCCUUAAAACUUCAGCUCUGCCUAAAGCAGUUUACAAAAGUACUAAACUGCAAUCAAUGUAAAUAAAAUUCUUAGCGCUAUCCUGAGACUGGAAAAAAAAAAAAUCUCAGGCUAAUAAGGAAUACGGUUUGCAUAUGCUGUCGGAAGGAUUGUCAACUGACUGAAGUUUCAGUUUAAAUGGAGGUCGCUCUGCAGUGUGGCCAGUUUGGUACAGAGCAAGCUGCUUUCUUCUUUUUCUAGUAUAGUUCUCACUGCCUUACUUAAAUCAAGUUGAUAAACUUAAUGCAACUGUUUCUAUGAUCCUAGGUAAAGGAUUGAAAUGUUAUUGAAAACUUUCUGACCGUAGUAAGCUUUAGGAUUUUAACUGCACUACUGUGUUUGGUGACUGUGUCAGUCGCUUGCUUUUUGUGUGUUUGCGCCGCCUUCAGUAUCUUAGCAGAAAAAAAAAAGCAAAAAAUACAAAAAAUAAAAAAGAUCCACAUUCCAUUUCUGGCACUUUUGGAGCUCUUUCAGUAUUCUUUUGUGUCUUCUGAGCAUUUUCAGAUACGACAGGCAAUAAUUCUGUUUGUGACACUGGGAACAUCUCCCCUUUUUUGUGAUGUGCGUGCUGAUUCCAUUUAGUCCGGUGCUACCGUCCCUAUUUUCCCCUCUGACAUAGGUCUUUUUUCCAGAACAUUUGUAACUUGUAAUACAAACAAGUGACAGCAGCCGUGAUGCAUUGUCAGUUUCUGAAUAUCAUCAUGCUUCUCAUAUCUAAACAUGUCAAGUUUUUUCUCUGUAACUUCUGUAGUCUGUGAUACUGGUCAUAAUACUGUCUACAUUCCUACACAAAGAAAAAUUUCUAUCUUGGAGUAAAUCUGAGAUCAAUAGAGUAGAGGAUUUUGUUGCUAUGCUUGUAACAAGUAGAAAACUUUGUAUUGAAAGUUUAUUCUUGGUCAUUAUUUAUUAUUAUAAUACAUCAGUUGACAGAACUUUAUUCUGGUAUAGAAGUAUUAAAAGUUGUUUUUUCAGCAAUGACUUUUCUUUCUGCUGUUAGAAUAAAAUGUCUUUGAAGCAGUACAGUUUUAUCCAGUGUUUUCCGCAAUAAAACCUCUACCUCUGAAAAA
Molecule: long non-coding RNA, 3112 nt
Organism: Ornithorhynchus anatinus (platypus)
Lineage: Eukaryota; Metazoa; Chordata; Mammalia; Monotremata; Ornithorhynchidae
Exons: 2
Source: RefSeq, a predicted model, not a curated record